Molecule: long non-coding RNA, 1054 nt
Filed under: Nicotiana benthamiana
Lineage: Eukaryota; Viridiplantae; Streptophyta; Magnoliopsida; Solanales; Solanaceae
Description: long non-coding RNA (NBEN_LNC010386)
Source: RNAcentral
CUGUGAGUUCUGUGUCUUGAGACGUUUAAGGUCAAGUUUCAUGCAUUUACUUUAUAAUGAUAAAAGGAUUUGCUACACCUCAAAAAUAACCAGAAAGUAUACUUCCUGCUUUUAAUAAAAGUUUAUAGUCCACUCAAAGCUGUCCUUUGUUAAUUGUUAUAUAAGACAAUUCAUUUGUUGUCUGCUUACGUAGUAUUCCUUAAUAGAGCAGGAGACAUCCUGACUUCGGUAAUCAUCAUGAACAUUACUAGUGGGAAGUGUUAAUGGUUUAUGUGCAUGUUUUGUUACAUUCUGACUUAGGUAAUCGUCAUAAACAUUACUAGUGGGAAGUGUUAAUGGUUUAUGUGCAUGUUUUGUUUCUUUAGGGAUAUGUGUUUGGCUGUGUUCAUCUCAAUGUUCACUUGGAUCUGCUCUUAUAUUUUUGGGGAUGGGAUAUCUAUUGUGUCAGAAUAAUUUGUAGGAGGAUAUUUGAACCUUACGUACGUGAAGCGUUUUGUUUCCUUCAGUUGUACCCUUUAUGUAUAUUGCUUGUCUGGCUACCUUAGUACGGGAGGAUAUUUGAACCUUACGCACGUGAAGCGUUUUGUUUCCUUCAGUUGUACCCUUUAUGUAUAUUGCUUGUCUGGCUACCUUUUUCUUCCUUGUGCUGGUAGGUCGCUUUUGGAUUUUACCAGUUCUCUGCUCUUAGGGCUAUUGUCUAUUCAAUAUGAAGAGUCAUCAUUUCCUCUAUUUGUUUUUUCCAACAUAUGCUGCGCGCGUGCUCUGUGACAUUAUCACUCUCCCUCUCUUGUUCACACAUGGCUCUGGGGUCUGUAGCCGCCUGAAGCAACAAUGUUUUUGGAACAGCAUUGGAGCAAACAAAUGCUAUCUCAUACACAGGGGUGACUCUGUGUUGGGACAUUUUCAGGGUUGAGCAAUUAAGUUUAUGCCAAUUUUCUGUUGGUUAACUCUUGUUUUUCUCUUUUUUGUUUUAUUCUCUCACAGACUGCUUUAAAGCUUGUAUCUGCCAUUAAAGGUAGCCGGGAGAAACAAGGCAAAUCACCCAGGAAGCUGU